This 650-nucleotide ribosomal RNA is filed under the name Stellaria pubera. Its description in RNAcentral is "eukaryotic LSU rRNA". The stretch from base 264 to 418 matches the Rfam family "5.8S ribosomal RNA". The record is from RNAcentral. Lineage: Eukaryota; Viridiplantae; Streptophyta; Magnoliopsida; Caryophyllales; Caryophyllaceae.
UGCGGAAGGAUCAUUGUCGAAACCUGCCCAGCAGAACGACCAGCGAACACGUUUAACUCUAUCGGGUUUGGGGAGGUGUGGGCAGCCUUGUGCUCCUACUCCCCCCGUGCUCGAGCCAAGGUGGCGGCCCCCUGUGGGUUCCUACUCGGCAUUUCAACGAACCCCGGCGCGAAAAGCGUCAAGGAAUAUAACCAACAUAUGAGCUCCCUCCYACUGCCCGGUUAGCCGGCGCGUGGGUGCGGUGCCAUGUCAUAACAUUAAACGACUCUCGGCAACGGAUAUCUCGGCUCUCGCAUCGAUGAAGAACGUAGCGAAAUGCGAUACUUGGUGUGAAUUGCAGAAUCCCGUGAACCAUCGAGUCUUUGAACGCAAGUUGCGCCCGAGGCCUUUGGCUGAGGGCACGUCUGCCUGGGCGUCACGCAUCGCAACCCCCCAUACUCACUCUCUGUGGUAGGGGGAGGAAGAUGGCUUCCCGUGUCUCACCGGGUGCGGUUGGCCUAAAUUUGGAGCCUAAGGCAUCGUGUUGCCGCGGCGAUAGGUGGUGAACAAGGCCUUGGCCGAGCAAACAACCGGUCGUGCAACCCUUUGACGAUAUGAGCUCGUAGGACCCUUUGAUGUUGCCUCGUUGCAACACAAACGUUGCGACCCCA